RNAcentral lists this ribosomal RNA (589 nucleotides) under Gliocladiopsis sp. RNAcentral's name for it is "partial large subunit ribosomal RNA". It matches the Rfam family "Eukaryotic large subunit ribosomal RNA", at positions 48 to 663 of the family's 3401-position model. The record is from RNAcentral. Lineage: Eukaryota; Fungi; Ascomycota; Sordariomycetes; Hypocreales; Nectriaceae.
UAGCGGAGGAAAAGAAACCAACAGGGAUUGCCCUAGUAACGGCGAGUGAAGCGGCAACAGCUCAAAUUUGAAAUCUGGCCUUCGGGUCCGAGUUGUAAUUUGUAGAGGAUGCUUUUGGUGCGGUGCCUUCCGAGUUCCCUGGAACGGGACGCCAUAGAGGGUGAGAGCCCCGUCUGGUUGGAUACCAAUCCUCUGUAAAGCUCCUUCGACGAGUCGAGUAGUUUGGGAAUGCUGCUCUAAAUGGGAGGUAUAUGUCUUCUAAAGCUAAAUACCGGCCAGAGACCGAUAGCGCACAAGUAGAGUGAUCGAAAGAUGAAAAGCACUUUGAAAAGAGAGUUAAAAAGUACGUGAAAUUGUUGAAAGGGAAGCGCUUGUGACCAGACUUGGGCUUGGUUGAUCAUCCUGGGUUCUCCCUGGUGCACUCUUCCAGUCCAGGCCAGCAUCAGUUUGCUUCGGGGGAUAAAGGCUUCGGGAAUGUGGCUCCUUCGGGAGUGUUAUAGCCCGUUGUGUAAUACCCUGAGGCAGACUGAGGUUCGCGCUCUGCAAGGAUGCUGGCGUAAUGGUCAUCAGCGACCCGUCUUAAACCAGG